UCUGCCGUGGGCGCUGGAGAAUUGAGGGGGGCUGCUCCUAGUACGAGAGGACCGGAGUGGACGCAUCACUGGUGUUCGGGUUGUCAUGCCAAUGGCACUGCCCGGUAGCUAAAUGCGGAAGAGAUAAGUGCUGAAAGCAUCUAAGCACGAAACUUGCCCCGAGAUGAGUUCUCCCUGAGACUUUAGGUCUCCUGAAGGAACGUUGAAGACGACGACGUUGAUAGGCCGGGUGUGUAAGCGCAGCGAUGCGUUGAGCUAACCGGUACUAAUGAACCGUGAGGCUUAACCUUACAACGCCGAAG
This 302-nucleotide ribosomal RNA is filed under the name Salmonella enterica subsp. enterica serovar Tennessee. RNAcentral describes it as "partial 23S ribosomal RNA". It matches the Rfam family "Bacterial large subunit ribosomal RNA", at positions 2641 to 2925 of the family's 2925-position model. Lineage: Bacteria; Pseudomonadati; Pseudomonadota; Gammaproteobacteria; Enterobacterales; Enterobacteriaceae. The record is from RNAcentral.